AGAACGAACGCUGGCGGCAUGCCUAAUACAUGCAAGUCGAACGAACUCUUCGGAGUUAGUGGCGCACGGGUGCGUAACGCGUGGGAAUUCUGCCCUUGGGUUCGGAAUAACAGUUGGAAACGACUGCUAAUACCGGAUGAUGACGAAAGUCCAAAGAUUUAUCGCCCAGGGAUGAGCCCGCGUAGGAUUAGCUAGUUGGUGAGGUAAAGGCUCACCAAGGCGACGAUCCUUAGCUGGUCUGAGAGGAUGAUCAGCCACACUGGGACUGAGACACGGCCCAGACUCCGACGGGAGGCAGCAGUAGGGAAUAUUGGACAAUGGGACA
This 325-nucleotide ribosomal RNA is filed under the name uncultured soil bacterium. Its description in RNAcentral is "bacterial SSU rRNA". It matches the Rfam family "Bacterial small subunit ribosomal RNA", at positions 26 to 378 of the family's 1533-position model. The record is from RNAcentral.